CCUACGGGAGGCAGCAGUGGGGAAUAUUGGGCAAUGGGCGCAAGCCUGACCCAGCAACGCCGCGUGAGGGAAGAAGGCUUUCGGGUUGUAAACUUCUUUUCUCAGGGACGAAGCGAGUGACGGUACCUGAGGAAUAAGCCACGGCUAACUACGUGCCACCCGCCACGGUGAUUCGUAGGUGGCAAGCGUGAUCCGGAUUUACUGGGUGUAAAGGGCGUGUAGGCGGGGACGUAAGUCAGAUGGGAAAACCAUGGGCUCAACCUGUGGCCUGCAUUUGAAACUGGGUUUCUUGAGUACUGGAGAGGCAGACGGAAUUCCUAGUGUAGCGGUGAAAUGCGUAGAUAUUAGGAGGAACACCAGUGGCGAAGGCGGUCUGCUGGACAGCAACUGACGCUGAGGCGCGAAAGCGUGGGGAGCAAACAGGAUUAGAUACCCGAGUAGUC
RNAcentral lists this ribosomal RNA (443 nucleotides) under uncultured bacterium. Its description in RNAcentral is "partial 16S ribosomal RNA". It matches the Rfam family "Bacterial small subunit ribosomal RNA", at positions 338 to 795 of the family's 1533-position model. The record is from RNAcentral.